CUUAAUCAAACAUAACCAAUGUUUCCUCCCUAUAUUUUCAAGCCCCACCCCCAAGUUCCCACCCCACUCCCCAAAUUCCCACCUACCCUCUCAAAUGUCUGACCUGGAAUUGGACUGGAUCAGCCACGCUCCUGGGCCUCUGCACCUGCUUCCCAUGAUCUUCAGUGCUUCUCCAGGAAAUUCCCCUCCCUCUUGGCCCAGACCCCUUGUGCUCUCUGGGUGCUGCAUGGUCAGAGCCUCUGAGCAACAUCAUAUUCUGAUGCUGAAAGCCCUGACACACAGUACCUGCAACAAUAGUGGCCAAAGGCCUUGUGUGAUGGCAUAACCCAGCUCCUACUGAGCAGGGCUCAGUCUGACGUAAGCCUAUCUUGGCAGCAAACGUGGGAAGCAUUUCACUGAGAACAGGAUUGGUCUUCAAGGGUAGAAGGCAGGGAGCACUCUGGAAGAGAACCAUCAAGAUAGAAUUCUUCAUGUGAGGUGCCACAGAAGAGAUGGGGAGGAAUGGCCCAUGGCAGAAAGCCUGCAGAACAUGCCAGUCUUUUCUUACUGUAGUAAGGUUCCCAUGGGAGGGACGACAGCAGGACUGGUCCUGCAAAGCUCUGAAUACCUUUGCUACAUCGUGAUUAGAUGUCAUACUGGAAGGGAGAAGCAGAUCGGUCGCGCCUCCCUCCGCCUUCCUCUGCACCUCCAAGCCUGGUGCUGCCAGCUCGCCUGGGAUUAUUAACAAUCGCUACCCAGUCCUGUGGGCCGCUGGAGGAUGGACCUGGCUCUCCCAUGGUCCUCCAAGGAAGGAAUGCGGAGAGCGGGUGAAAAGCCCCCCCCACCCCCCAGGCAGACGGUCUCUCUCCGGCUUGGGGGUGGGGGUCGUGCAGCAAACUGCUUUCUCAUGCUGUCCUAUUAAACAUUGCAGCCACAUGCUCUUUGCAGCUUCUCUGAGGCUACUGCAGCAUCCCUGCCCCGCCCGUCAGCCCAUACAACAGAGCUUCACUGCAGCUUCGGAACCCUGUUCUCUUUCUUCCUCACUUCCUCGUUGCCAUGGAGACACACGUCAUUUACGUGCCGUGCGUCGCCUUGGAAACGGGGGAGCAUCCGCGGCGCCGCCGGGAGACCCGCCCCUGCCUCUCCAGCCGCACUCGCGGGCACUGCUGGUGGAUGGCUGGGGGGAGUCCCGAGACUGACGCGCUGCGGGUCCCCGUCUCGACCCCGAGCCCUCUGCGAGCGCCUCUGUGACCUGUGAGCACUCUUUGUCGGUGAUUGCCGGGAGGGCGGCGGGACAUAGGUACCACACUGGAGGCGAGCGGGCAAGCCACUUUUGCCCCCUGGGUAAGCCCGAAGAUCCUGGUCCCGGGACCCUAGACGGGUCUUCGUUCCAUCGACUCUUCUCAGCCCUCCUUGAUCCCGCCCGUGUCCUCUGCCUGGGGCCGCUCUCUUCACGUAGGCUCCCCGCCCCUCUAGGGAGCCUAGGUGUCCCUGGGCUCCACCCCGUCCCUCCCGGGACCUCUCCCCCUCCACACCCUUCCCCCACCCUGGAGGCCCGGCUGGACACGACCCAGAGCUGCCA
RNAcentral lists this long non-coding RNA (1561 nucleotides) under Mus spicilegus (steppe mouse). RNAcentral's name for it is "lncRNA (ENSMSIG00000000275.1)". Lineage: Eukaryota; Metazoa; Chordata; Mammalia; Rodentia; Muridae. The record is from RNAcentral.